UUUAAUAUUUAAAGUUUGGCCUGCUCAAUGAAAAUUUAAAUGGCCGCAGUAUUUUGACUGUGCAAAGGUAGCAUAAUCAUUAGUUUCUUAAUUAGGAACUUGUAUGAAUGGUCGGAUGAGAAAUGAACUGUCUCUGUAUAAUUUGAUUAGAAUUUUAUUUUUAAGUUAAAAAGCUUAAAUUUUUAUUAAAGACGAGAAGACCCUAUAGAGUUUAAUUUUUUAAAAUAUUUGAUUUAUUAAGGAUUUAUUUUUCGUUUAUUUUAAAAAAUUUUGUUGGGGUGACAGGAAAAAUUGUUUAACUUUUUUUUUUAAUUAACAUUGAUUUAUGAUUUGUUGAUCCAAUAUUUUUGAUUAUAAGAUUAAAUUACCUUAGGGAUAACAGCGUAAUUUUUUUUGAGAGUUCUUAUCGAAAGAAAAGUUUGCGACCUCGAUGUUGGAUUAAAAUUUAGGGUUGGCGUAGAAGUUAACCUUUUAAGUCUGUUCGACUUUUAAAAUUUUACAUGAUCUGAGUUUAAACCGGUGUGAGCCAGGUUGGUUUCUAUCUWAAUUUAAAUAAAAUAUUUUAGUACGAAAGGACCAAUUAUUUAUAUAAUAUAUUAUUUUUUGAAUUAAAUUGUUACUUUGGCAGAUUAGUGCAUUAAAUUUAGAAUUUAAGUAUGUAUAUUUAUACAGGUAAUACUUGAUUUUAUUUGAUUUUCUUUUAUUAUUGGUUAGGGGAUUAAUUUUAGUAGUAUGUGUUUUGGUAGG
Molecule: ribosomal RNA, 747 nt
Filed under: Oocyclus coromoto
Lineage: Eukaryota; Metazoa; Arthropoda; Insecta; Coleoptera; Hydrophilidae
Description: partial 16S ribosomal RNA
Rfam family: Bacterial large subunit ribosomal RNA (bases 1-580)
Source: RNAcentral